AGUAUCCGCCCGAGAACUACGAGCACAAACGCUUAAAACUCUAAGGACUUGGCGGUGCCCCAAACCCAUCUAGAGGAGCCUGUUCUAUAAUCGAUAACCCACGAUAAACCCAACCCCUUCUAGCCCAAAGCAGCCUACAUACCGCCGUCCCCAGCCCACCUCCCCUGAGAGCCCAAACAGUGAGCACAACAACACCCCGCUAACAAGACAGGUCAAGGUAUAGCCAAUGAAAGGGUAGAAAUGGGCUACAUUUUCUAAAAUAGAAAAUUCCAACGGAAAGAGGUCUGAAAUUCGACCUCCAGAAGGAGGAUUUAGCAGUAAAGAGGAGUAAGAAUAUCCUCUUAAACCUGGCCCUGGAG
RNAcentral lists this ribosomal RNA (359 nucleotides) under Porphyrio flavirostris (azure gallinule). Its description in RNAcentral is "partial 12S ribosomal RNA". It matches the Rfam family "Bacterial small subunit ribosomal RNA", at positions 863 to 1379 of the family's 1533-position model. Lineage: Eukaryota; Metazoa; Chordata; Aves; Gruiformes; Rallidae. The record is from RNAcentral.